This 305-nucleotide ribosomal RNA is filed under the name uncultured bacterium. Its description in RNAcentral is "bacterial SSU rRNA". It matches the Rfam family "Bacterial small subunit ribosomal RNA", at positions 338 to 642 of the family's 1533-position model. The record is from RNAcentral.
CCUACGGGGGGCAGCAGUGAGGAAUAUUGGUCAAUGGGCGAGAGCCUGAACCAGCCAAGUCGCGUGAGGGAGUACUGCCCUAUGGGUUGUAAACCUCUUUUGUCGGGGAGCAAAAGCCGGACGUGUCCGGCUGUGAGAGUACCCGAAGAAAAAGCAUCGGCUAACUCCGUGCCAGCAGCCGCGGUAAUACGGAGGAUGCGAGCGUUAUCCGGAUUUAUUGGGUUUAAAGGGUGCGCAGGCGGAUUUUUAAGUCAGCGGUCAAAUCGUGGGGCUCAACCCCAUCCAGCCGUUGAAACUGGGGAUCU